AGUGUUAACAUGAUGUCUUCAGUAGAGUUUUCUAUUUUCUGGAUUAAUGAAGACCAACAGCUUAUCCUUUAGAAUAAGCUCUAUUUGAAAAAGUUUGGCUCUCUAUACUUCUGUAUGGUUCUGUUUGCAUACUGUUUAUGCUGUAAGUAUAAGAAAUGCUGGCAAAGAACAUUAUUGUUUUAACUUGUACUAUAAUGUGAACCACUUCUAACUCAUAAUCUUAUUUUGUACUGUGUGAUGUCUGAUACUGCUAACAUCGAUCUUUGGGCUUUGGUGAACUCUGAUCUUCCCAGGUUUUCAAGGUCUACCAGGUCCAGAAGGUUCUCCGGGUCUCCCUGGAAAUGGAGCUAUUAAAGGAGAGAAGGGAAAUCCAGGCCAACCU
RNAcentral lists this small RNA (382 nucleotides) under Pongo abelii (Sumatran orangutan). RNAcentral describes it as "processed transcript". The record is from RNAcentral. Lineage: Eukaryota; Metazoa; Chordata; Mammalia; Primates; Hominidae.